Molecule: ribosomal RNA, 440 nt
Filed under: uncultured bacterium
Lineage: Bacteria
Description: partial 16S ribosomal RNA
Rfam family: Bacterial small subunit ribosomal RNA
Source: RNAcentral
CCUACGGGAGGCAGCAGUAGGGAAUAUUGCUCAAUGGGGGAGACCCUGAAGCAGCAACGCCGCGUGGAGGAUGACGGUUUUAGGAUUGUUAACUCCUUUUGUUAGAGAAGAUUAUGACGGUAUCUAUCGAAUUAGCACCGGCUAACUCCGUGCCAGCAGCAGCGGUAAUACGGAGGGUGCCAGCGUUACUCGGAAUCACUGGGCGUAAAGCGUGCGUAGGCGGGUUAAUAAGUGAGUUGGGAAAUCUUGUAGCUUAACUACAAAACUGCAUUUGACACUGUUAGUCUGGAGUGUGGGCGAGGUAGGUGGAAUUCGUGGUGUAGGGGUAAAAUCCUUAGAGAUCAAGAGGAAUACUGAUUGCGAAGGCGACCUACUGGAACAUUACUGACGCUGAUGCACGAAAGCGUGGGGAGCAAACAGGAUUAGAUACCCGGGUAGUC